UUAACCUAGGGGGGCAGCAGUGGGGAAUAUUGCACAAUGGGGGAAACCCUGAUGCAGCGACGCCGCGUGAGUGAAGAAGUAUUUCGGUAUGUAAAGCUCUAUCAGCAGGGAAGAGAAUGACGGUACCUGACUAAGAAGCCCCGGCUAACUACGUGCCAGCAGCCGCGGUAAUACGUAGGGGGCAAGCGUUAUCCGGAUUUACUGGGUGUAAAGGGAGCGUAGACGGCCAGACAAGUCAGAAGUGAAAACCCGCGGCUCAACUGCGGGAGUGCUUUGGAAACUGUUUGGCUGGAGUGCAGGAGAGG
This 305-nucleotide ribosomal RNA is filed under the name uncultured bacterium. RNAcentral describes it as "bacterial SSU rRNA". It matches the Rfam family "Bacterial small subunit ribosomal RNA", at positions 332 to 657 of the family's 1533-position model. The record is from RNAcentral.